This 890-nucleotide ribosomal RNA is filed under the name uncultured bacterium. RNAcentral describes it as "bacterial SSU rRNA". It matches the Rfam family "Bacterial small subunit ribosomal RNA", at positions 8 to 916 of the family's 1533-position model. The record is from RNAcentral.
AGAGUUUGAUCCUGGCUCAGGACGAACGCUGGCGGCGUGCCUAACACAUGCAAGUCGAACGAAGUAUGUUUUUCGGAAUGUACUUAGUGGCGGACGGGUAAGUAACGCGUGAAUAAUCUGCCCCAUACAGGGGGAUAGCCUCGGGAAACCGGGAUUAAAACCGCAUGAUGCUUUUUUAUCGCAUGGUAGAGAAGUCAAAUCGAAUAAGAGGUAUGGGAUGAGUUCGCGUCUGAUUAGCUGGUUGGCGGGGUAAGAGCCCACCAAGGCGACGAUCAGUAGCCGGCCUGAGAGGGUGACCGGCCACACUGGAACUGAGACACGGUCCAGACUCCUACGGGAGGCAGCAGUGGGGAAUAUUGCACAAUGGAGGGAACUCUGAUGCAGCGACGCCGCGUGAGUGAAGAAGGUCUUCGGAUCGUAAAACUCUGUCCUUGGUGACGAAAAAAAUGACGGUAGCCAAGGAGGAAGCCCCGGCUAACUACGUGCCAGCAGCCGCGGUAAUACGUAGGGGGCGAGCGUUGUCCGGAUUUACUGGGCGUAAAGGGUGAGUAGGCGGUUAUAUAUGUCAGGUGUAAAAAGCUAUGGCUUAACCAUAGUAAGCACUUGAAACUGUAUGACUUGAGUGCAGGAGAGGUAAGCGGAAUUCCUAGUGUAGCGGUGAAAUGCGUAGAUAUUAGGAGGAACACCGGUGGCGAAGGCGGCUUACUGGACUGUAACUGACGCUGAGUCACGAAAGCGUGGGUAGCAAACAGGAUUAGAUACCCUGGUAGUCCACGCCGUAAACGAUGAGUGCUAGGUGUUGGGCAGCAAUGCUCAGUGCCGAAGUAAACACAAUAAGCACUCCGCCUGGGGAGUACGUACGCAAGUAUGAAACUCAAAGGAAUUGACGG